This is a long non-coding RNA of Larimichthys crocea (large yellow croaker), 2840 nucleotides long. RefSeq lists it as uncharacterized. NCBI's taxonomy places the organism in Eukaryota, Metazoa, Chordata, Actinopteri, Sciaenidae. The transcript has 3 exons. The record is from RefSeq and is a predicted model, not a curated record.
GCGAUAAGAAUGACAGGAAGAGAUGCAGAGGUCAAAGGUCAAUAUACCUGUAGGGGAGAAACAAGUCGAGAGAGAAAAUGUCACCCAAGGUCGCUCUUCACAAAAGCAGUUCCCACCAGAGAGAGGUUUCAUAAGUGACCGCCGUGAACUAAUGCACAGGAAGCCUUUUAAUCACCUGUCGAGAGGAGCGCAGUGAAGACAUGACGCCAGGUACCUGGUAACACCUGCUGAGUGUGCAACGUCACGAGAGGCUGCGGUGGAUUUUGUGACACUUGAGGAAAUGAAUGCCAGACACAGUUUUCCUCUAACCCAGUGUUGACCUCCUGAAGUUUAAUGUCAGCACGGCUCAGCGAAGUCCUGCAGCCUGUCUUCCUGAAGCCCCAGUGAAUGCAGACCACCAGAUCCUGAUUUAUUCAGGCUCUUUAUUUGACAUUGUUGUCAAACUUGAUUACAAUUAUGUAUAUCAGAGUCCUUUUUGUUGUUGUUGAUUGUUGCAGGGUGUUAUAAUCAGUUUAGUGUGAUACGCCUCAAUGGCAGACACAGCUGUUUGAGAGGCUACAGGCGUCUGCUUGGGAAAAAAUAAUAAAAACUGAGGUGCACUGAAAUGAUUACUUCUUUUAGUGGCAGUUGUGGAUAGUCAACCCGAUCUCAGAUGGCAGACCACAGCCAAUUAUGUCUCCAAAGAAGUUUUGCACUUAACUAAAAUAUGCAAAACCAACUUUUGCAAACGUGUCCUGUGUUUUUCCAUUUCAAACCACUGAAAAAGGUCUGAAAGUCAUUAGUUAUUCAAACAAGACUAAUAGUCUGUAGUCUGUUCUUUAACAUGUAACAUAAUUACAUCCUACAAUACAAAAGUGUUCUACUGACAACAUAAUGAGGAUUUUCGGAUAUGUAAACCCUCUUCAGUUGUGGAAUGUGAAGUUUUAGCCGAAGGUGGAACUAGAACAAUGUUCAUGAAAAAUCAAAAGCCCCAGUAGUCUUGAAAAUAGCAGAAUUCAGAAGUUAUAAAAAUAAUAAUAAUUUGAAAUCAUCAACAUGAAACUAGUUGAGAUAUCCUUCUCUGAGCCAAGGAGUUGCGUGGACAGACUGCUGAGCUGAUCAACUGUCCAACAUCCUUACGCAGUUUGUUCUGUAAAAUAUCUUUCCAAUCAAGAUUUUCUGUCAAACCUAAUUUUGCUUUUGCUUCCAAAACCUUUAAUCUAGUUCUAUCCAUUCAACAAUUCAACACGAAGGAGCAGUGCACAUAAUCAGAGCUCCUACUAGAUAUCUGAACCGCUCACCUCAUCCUUAAGUCUGAGCUCAGACAGCCAAUGAAGGAAGCUCCGCAAUCUUAUUCUUUCGGUCAGUACCCAUAGGUCAUGACCAUGGGUGAGGGUUAAUCAACUGGUAAAUUCACCAUCACUGUCAGGUACAACACUCACAUAACUUUGGACAAUACACAAGUCUGCUCUAUUUCAUAUACACAAUUAAGAGAUUAGUAAAUUAAGUCAUGAAGUAAAUUGAAGUCACAGCCCUAAAAAUGGAGUAGAAGAACAGUCAUAUUUAUUUCUUUGUGCUAAUCAUGAAAAUGGUUGUUAGUAAUGCCCAUUACAAGUCUGGCUAACACCCCACUGUACUGUUAAAUGCUCAACAGGCAUUUAUAUUUCACAGUUGUAUAUACAGUUGUCAAGAUCGAACACUGACACCAACAGUAUCAUGUUGCUGUCAGUCCCACACUGAUUCUCACAAACCCUGAGGCAUAUAAAUGUGUGAGAGUGUGUUGCGUUAAUUUUAGACAAGACUGGCAGCAUGCUUGUAAACGCUGCAAUAUUUGAUUGCAAAUCUUUCUUUAGCAGUGCGCUCAGAAGGUACUCUGACUCAGUGAAUGGUAAAACAUUUAGAACAUUUUAGUUUGACUUCAUACGGGCGAGUUGUCUGGCUCACCAUCAUGAAUUAUAUUCAAUCUGCGAGUCAACAGCCCCAAGAAUGUUAAAAUUCAAAUGGUCAUGUGGAUAAUUAGAACACAAUUCGAUUCAUGUGAAUCUGGCUAACAACAGUAGUCUUCUUAAAACUCUCUUUGGUAAGUAAGUCAUUAUCAAGCCGGAGCACCAGAUGGGCCCCUCAGAUUCUCCUCAUGACUUGUCAGAAACAUUGUGGGUGUGUUUAGGGAGAGAAAAAAAUAGAAAGGGACAAACUAGGAAGUAGUUGGAUGCAGCCACUGAGCCCCGCCUGUCAGUUCACAUGAUGAAUGAAUCAGUUUCACAUCAAUCUGAUGCUGAGCAGCUAUAAUUGGAUUAUUUACACAGCGCAGAGGCACAUGGGGUCUGACUAUCUUAACCCCAGGUGGGCGCUGGACUUCUGCUCUCAGGCCAUGGACUCUGACCUACAGUCAAUAUCCCUCCGCUGUUCUAGUUAUCCCCAGCUAACCAGUUAACACUGUGAAAACCUUAUGGUUAGGCCUGGGGUUAGCCCAUUUCUAUUUUUCUUUAAUUCAGAGCAUAAUGCAGUGUGCUGUGCCCUCUUAUUAAUUCUAUGACCUUUUAGAAAGAUUGUGUUGAGACUUGUUAAAAGUUUAGGCUACGCAUUUUUGACUCCACAUAGGAGAAUUUAAUUUUGCUUAAUUCAUUAAUUAUUAAUAAAAUCACAAAUCAUCAAUGGCCAAUCCAACAUCUGUGUAGGGGCUCUUAAACUUAAACUAACUUAAUUAAACUAAACAUUUUUUAUUUUAUUAUUACAUGAUAAGAAGGUAAGCAAAUAAAUAACUGGACACAAUGCUUGAAAUUAGACAUUAUUAAAUCAUUAUUGCAAAUUAAUAGCUUAUCUUUUGUCUGUGGAUGCCCCCUAAUAGUCGACCAAACUGU